UGGGGAAUAUUGGACAAUGGGCGCAAGCCUGAUCCAGCCAUGCCGCGUGUGUGAAGAAGGCCUUUUGGUUGUAAAGCACUUUAAGCGAGGAGGAGGCUACUUGGAUUAAUACUCUAGGAUAGUGGACGUUACUCGCAGAAUAAGCACCGGCUAACUCUGUGCCAGCAGCCGCGGUAAUACAGAGGGUGCGAGCGUUAAUCGGAUUUACUGGGCGUAAAGCGUGCGUAGGCGGCUUUUUAAGUCGGAUGUGAAAUCCCUGAGCUUAACUUAGGAAUUGCAGUCGAUACUGGGAAGCUAGAGUAUGGGAGAGGAUGGUAGAAUUCCAGGUGUAGCGGUGAAAUGCGUAGAGAUCUGGAGGAAUACCGAUGGCGAAGGCAGCCAUCUGGCCUAAUACUGACGCUGAGGUACGAAAGCAUGGGGAGCAAACAGG
Molecule: ribosomal RNA, 430 nt
Filed under: Acidobacteriota bacterium
Lineage: Bacteria; Pseudomonadati; Acidobacteriota
Description: Acidobacteria bacterium partial 16S ribosomal RNA
Rfam family: Bacterial small subunit ribosomal RNA
Source: RNAcentral